This 882-nucleotide ribosomal RNA is filed under the name uncultured bacterium. RNAcentral's name for it is "bacterial SSU rRNA". It matches the Rfam family "Bacterial small subunit ribosomal RNA", at positions 36 to 916 of the family's 1533-position model. The record is from RNAcentral.
CUAGCGGCCAGGCUUAAUACAUGCAAGUCGAACGGCAAGUUGAAUAGCAAUAUCGGACCUAGAGUGACGUACGGGUGCGUAACACGUAUGCAACCUACCCAAAACUGGGAGGAUAGCUCGGGGAAACUCGAAUUAACCCUCCAUAAGAUCAUAGAGCAGCAUUGUUUAGUGAUUAAAACUCCGGUGGUUUGGAUGGGCAUGCGUCUGAUUAGUUAGUUGGCGGGGUAACGGCCCACCAAGACGAUGAUCAGUAGGGGAACUGAGAGGUUGAUCCCCCACACUGGCACUGAGAUACGGGCCAGACUCCUACGGGAGGCAGCAGUAGGGAAUAUUGGUCAAUGGGUGCAAGCCUGAACCAGCCAUGCCGCGUGCAGGAAGAAGGCGUUAUGCGUUGUAAACUGCUUUUGUCAGGGGAUAAAAUUUCCUUGCGAGGAACAUUGAAGGUACCUGGCGAAUAAGCCACGGCUAACUACGUGCCAGCAGCCGCGGUAAUACGUAGGUGGCAAGCGUUGUCCGGAUUUAUUGGGUUUAAAGGGUGCGUAGGCGGCCCUGUAAGUCAGUGGUGAAAUACUCCAGCUUAACUGGAGGGGUGCCAUUGAUACUGCAGGGCUUGAGUGGAGUCGAAGUAGGCGGAAUUGACGGUGUAGCGGUGAAAUGCUUAGAUAUCGUCCAGAACACCGAUAGCGAAGGCAGCUUACUAAAGAGUAACUGACGCUGAGGCACGAAAGUGUGGGGAUCAAACAGGAUUAGAUACCCUGGUAGUCCACACUGUAAACGUUGAUCACUAGAUGUUGGCGAUAUACUGCCAGCGUUCCAGCAAAAGCGAUAAGUGAUCCACCUGGGGAGUACGCCGGCAACGGUGAAACUCAAACGAAUUGACGG